ACCAGCAUGGUGGCACGUGCUCGUAGUCCCAGCUACUCGGGAGGCUGUAGUGGCAGGAUCGCUUGAGUCCAGGAGUUCUGGGCUGUAGUGCGCUAUGCCGAUCGGGUGUCCGCAGUCAGUUCAGCAUCAAUAUGGUGACCUCCCAGGAGUCGGUUGCCUAAGGAAGGGUGAACCAGCCCAGGCUGGAAACGGAGCAGGUCAAAACUCCUGUGCUGAUCAGUAGUGGGAUCACACCUGUGAAUAGCCACUGCACUCCAACCUGGGCAACAUAGCAAGACCUCCUCUUU
This 287-nucleotide signal recognition particle RNA is filed under the name Cebus imitator (Panamanian white-faced capuchin). Its description in RNAcentral is "Metazoan signal recognition particle RNA (ENSCCAG00000005339.1)". It matches the Rfam family "Metazoan signal recognition particle RNA". From Rfam's summary of the family: The signal recognition particle (SRP) is a universally conserved ribonucleoprotein. It is involved in the co-translational targeting of proteins to membranes. The record is from Rfam by way of RNAcentral. Lineage: Eukaryota; Metazoa; Chordata; Mammalia; Primates; Cebidae.